GAGCCUCCAGGAGGGCAGGUACGGGCCCUGUACUUCAGCUGUGCCACCUGGGGGAAAGGAAAUGAUGCCUUCUGAUUGAGAAAACCUGAUGGGUAAAUGAUCAAUAAAUGAGGUGAUAAUCAGAGGACCUCAAAGAGAACUGGGUUAUAACAUCAGGAUUUUUAGCUAAGAAGCUGUGUUGAGCCAGAAGAUGUGAGCCUGCUGUCUCUGGAGGGAUGGAGUGCUGGUGCUACCUUGCUGUUGUGACCUGCUUCUCUUGGGAAGAGUCUGUGAGAUGGAAAUGAAAAACCCUGAAAUUUGGCACUGUGGAGGGAGACUGGGAGGAGAUGCUUUUCUUGCCUGUUUAAACCUGGGGUGUGUGCUAACA
This 367-nucleotide long non-coding RNA is filed under the name Numida meleagris (helmeted guineafowl). RNAcentral's name for it is "lncRNA (ENSNMEG00000000405.1)". The record is from RNAcentral. Lineage: Eukaryota; Metazoa; Chordata; Aves; Galliformes; Numididae.